UUUAAUGAGAGUUUGAUCCUGGCUCAGGACGAACGCUGGCGGCGUGCCUAAUACAUGCAAGUAGAACGCUGAGGUUUGGUGUUUACACUAGACUGAUGAGUUGCGAACGGGUGAGUAACGCGUAGGUAACCUGCCUCAUAGCGGGGGAUAACUAUUGGAAACGAUAGCUAAUACCGCAUAAGAGUAAUUAACACAUGUUAGUUAUUUAAAAGGAGCAAUUGCUUCACUGUGAGAUGGACCUGCGUUGUAUUAGCUAGUUGGUGAGGUAAAGGCUCACCAAGGCGACGAUAC
RNAcentral lists this ribosomal RNA (291 nucleotides) under Streptococcus agalactiae. Its description in RNAcentral is "partial 16S ribosomal RNA". It matches the Rfam family "Bacterial small subunit ribosomal RNA", at positions 1 to 282 of the family's 1533-position model. The record is from RNAcentral. Lineage: Bacteria; Bacillati; Bacillota; Bacilli; Lactobacillales; Streptococcaceae.